GACCAAGCGACUAAGGGCGCACGGUGGAUGCCUUGGUAGGAGCAGGCGAUGAAGGGCGUAGCAAGCUGCGAUAAGCUUCGGGGAGCCGCUAGCAGGCGUUAAUCCGGAGAUUCCCGAAUGGGGAAACCCAUCUCGAGUCAUGUCGAGAUAUCCAACGCUGAAUUAAUAGGUGUUGGAGGCGAACCUGGUGAACUGAAACAUCUUAGUAGCCAGAGGAAGAGAAAGUAAAAACGAUUCCCUGAGUAGCGGUGAGCGAAAGGGGAGUAGCCUAAACCGAUUCAUACGUGGAUCGGGGUUGUGGGGCGCAAGCCAUGGUACCUCGAGCGGUAGGCGAAGCGACUGGAAAGUCGCGCCAUAGAGAGUGAUAGUCUCGUAGCCGAAAUCGUAAGAGGGCCUAUUGCGUACCCGAGUAGCGCGGGGCACGUGGAAUCCUGCGUGAAUCUGGGAGGACCAUCUCCUAAGGCUAAAUACUCGCUCCUGACCGAUAGUGAACCAGUACCGUGAGGGAAAGGUGAAAA
RNAcentral lists this ribosomal RNA (518 nucleotides) under Pseudomonadota bacterium. Its description in RNAcentral is "bacterial LSU rRNA". It matches the Rfam family "Bacterial large subunit ribosomal RNA", at positions 1 to 520 of the family's 2925-position model. Lineage: Bacteria; Pseudomonadati; Pseudomonadota. The record is from RNAcentral.